Molecule: ribosomal RNA, 464 nt
Filed under: uncultured bacterium
Lineage: Bacteria
Description: partial 16S ribosomal RNA
Rfam family: Bacterial small subunit ribosomal RNA
Source: RNAcentral
ACGAACGCUGGCGGCGUGCUUAACACAUGCCAGUCGUGCGGUAAGGCCCUUUCGGGGGUACACGAGUGGCGAACGGGUGAGUAACACGUGAGUAACCUGCCCACAACUUUGGGAUAACGCUAGGAAACUGGUGCUAAUACUGGAUAUGUGCUCCUGCUGCAUGGUGGGGGUUGGAAAGCUCCGGCGGUUGUGGAUGGACUCGCGGCCUAUCAGCUUGUUGGUGGGGUAGUGGCCUACCAAGGCGGCGACGGGUAGCCGGCCUGAGAGGGUGACCGGCCACAUUGGGACUGAGAUACGGCCCAGACUCCUACGGGAGGCAGCAGUGGGGAAUAUUGCACAAUGGGCGCAAGCCUGAUGCAGCAACGCCGCGUGCGGGAUGACGGCCUUCGGGUUGUAAACCGCUUUCAGCAGGGACGAAGCUUUUUGUGACGGUACCUGCAGAAGAAGCACCGGCUAACUACGUG